Non-coding RNA from Candidatus Endolissoclinum faulkneri L2, 74 nucleotides. NCBI's taxonomy places the organism in Bacteria, Pseudomonadati, Pseudomonadota, Alphaproteobacteria, Rhodospirillales, Rhodospirillaceae. The record is from Rfam.
CGGAGCGUAGCGCAGCUCGGUAGCGCACCACGCUGGGGGUGUGGUGGUCGUGGGUUCGAAUCCCACCGCUCCGA